CGCUCUCGCUGCGCGCGAGCUCGCGUCUAACGAGGGAAAUGUGACGUACGACGUAUCGCUCGAAAGACGGAAACGUCCCUAUGGCGCGCGCGCGGCGCUGGGACACGCCCCCUGUCACGUGGAGGCCGUAAUAGUAACGAGUGAGUAAUUGGGCAAAGCGAAGGUUUCGCUCGACGCGUUUCUGAGGCGAUUGUGGAGAAGGGAGGGCAAGGAAAGAAGAAGAAGAAAAAAGAAGGAAAUAAUAGCGAGUCGGUGUGCGGAAUUGUUACAUGAUGAACAUUAUAUAGAAAUGUACGAAGUUCGAAAGUAAGAGGGGGGCAAUGUGAACGUGGUACUACUAGAAGUUGAACUGAAAUCUCAUUCUGAGAGAAAAAAUUGACAACUGACAACAACACAAAAGUCGACAGAAGCGAAGGCUCCUGUGUGCACAACAGGGCUGGACCAAGCAGAGGACACCCCCGUCCACGCCAGUUGGAGGGGCUGUGGAAGAGCCGUCACCUGUGGAACUCGACAUCUUCAGGCAGGUCACAGGGUCACGUGGGCCUGAAUUCAGCAGGGGUCCAAGGUACAAGAAGGACAAAUGACAGGGCUGCGAGGCGGCCAAAUCCACACAUUCUUCACUGUUAUACAGGCGGCCUGUGUGUUCUACUUGCCCGCUGCCAAAACCGAGCGCAAACAGGACUCCGGCGAUGACGUGCGGUGACCAUCCCCCGCUCUCCUCGUCUGACCGGGCCCAAUUCAACCGGUUCUCCAGCUGAGGCCUGGCUUGGAUUUGGUCUCCUUGGAACAGCUGCCACCCAUCCAGCGGCUAAUUGAUUAUGAUUAGUGAGCCAAUUAGUCCAGGAGGCGGAGCCAGCAGCCUGAGCAGUGUUGAAGGUGUUUGCUAUGGGAAGGCAGGCUGGAAGCUGUGGUAAAUCCCCCAGGGUGAGUGGUCUGUCACAGUGGUGGGAUGGUAGCUGCUGUUGAAGCGCCGUUGAAUUGCAGAAAAACAGUAUUACUGCUCAGUUUCUGAAGGAUGAGCUAUGGUGAACGUGCAGCAGAGCAUGGCCACAAUCACUGAAUUCCAUGUGUAGAAAUGUAAGGGAGGGUUUCUGCAAAGGAGUACUAAUGUGCAUGUUUGAGUGCUUUCAUGUUUCACUUCAGUUAUAAUUUAUUCAUAUUAUUAUUAGCUUACACUUUUCUCCAAACCGACUUGCGAUGUGAGUUUUGCAUAUUAAACUACUUAGAAUGAAUUAC
RNAcentral lists this long non-coding RNA (1236 nucleotides) under Scleropages formosus (Asian bonytongue). RNAcentral's name for it is "lncRNA (ENSSFOG00015025208.1)". The record is from RNAcentral. Lineage: Eukaryota; Metazoa; Chordata; Actinopteri; Osteoglossiformes; Osteoglossidae.